GACGAACGCUGGCGGCGUGCUUAACACAUGCAAGUCGAACGAGUGGCGAACGGGUGAGUAAUACGUGGGUAACCUGCCCUCUUUUUGGGAUACUCCUUGGAAACGGGGUCUACUCCCCAAUACAGUGGGAUGGGCUCGCGGCCUAUCAGCUUGUUGGUGGGGUGAUGGCUUACCAAGGCGGUGACGGGUAGCCGGCCUGAGAGGGUGACCGGCAACAGGGGGAGGGAGAGACGGACCAGAGUCGUACGGGAGGGAGAAGUGGUGGAUAGUGCACAAGGGGCGAAAGCCUGAGGCAGCGAUGCCGAGUGGGGGAUGAAGGCUUUCGGGUUGUAAACCGCUGUGGCUAGCGAACGGGUAGGUGGAGAAGAAGCGCCGGCUAACUACGUGCCAGCAGCCGCGGUAAUAC
This 406-nucleotide ribosomal RNA is filed under the name uncultured bacterium. Its description in RNAcentral is "partial 16S ribosomal RNA". It matches the Rfam family "Bacterial small subunit ribosomal RNA", at positions 28 to 526 of the family's 1533-position model. The record is from RNAcentral.